Molecule: long non-coding RNA, 1785 nt
Organism: Oreochromis niloticus (Nile tilapia)
Lineage: Eukaryota; Metazoa; Chordata; Actinopteri; Cichliformes; Cichlidae
Exons: 2
Source: RefSeq, a predicted model, not a curated record
UGAAGGCCACAUUUUAAGGCCAAAGGCUGUCUUAAUUCAAAGGCUGCUUGAAAUACGGCCCUCAAAUGCGUCCUUCAUUUCCCUGAAUUUUAAGGAUGGAUCAGUGUAGCCUUCAUGGCCCAACAUAUCCCAGACUUCAUAGCGCGGCGGUGGUGUGGAUAAUUUUGCCGUUUUUGAGAAGGGUCUGGCUGCAGCCACUGGGGAGCGCCAUAUUGGGACCUCCACACUAACUGGAAACACGUGACCUCCACAGUAGCCGGAAACACGUGACCUCCACAGUAACCGGAAACACGUGACCUCCACAAUCGGCAGAAAUACGUUCCUGCGUGCAUCAUCGACUGUGGAAACCUUGCAAGUGGAUCGUAAAGGUUGGGACAGAGUUUUUCAUGUAUAAAUUUGCCGUUAAUAAUUGUAUAAUUCUAGGAAUCAUCUAGUUUGCUUACACUGAUUAUGUUGGCACUUUGUUAGCGUUACAACAACUGUCAUACCCCCGAGGUAUCUAAACUUUAGUAAUGUGUGCACUUUUGACACAUCUGGUUAGCAUUUAGUGGUCAGUUUCAAACGUAUUUGAUUUUUGCUUGUUAUGAACAAAUUCACUUCACUGCUUUUCACUGUCAGUAACAUCGAUGCACAUUGUUCCAUUUACUGCAUAUUGCGCUUUAUUCAUGUCUCUCAUUCCACCUGCAAAAACAUUGUAAAGUUUGUCACAAAGAGAUUUAUAUAUUUAUAAAUACUAAUAUUCUCUAUUCUAUGCUCUACUGCUUUUUUAUUGCCCAGAUUUUAGUUAGCCUUUGUUAAAUUGUCUUUUAUAUGUCAAUAUAUACAUAUGUCCCAAAUAAAAGUGUCUUGUAAAUUAUGUUUUUGUAAAGAAUUUUCUCCCAAAUCUCUUACAUGCUAACUGUAACGUGUUAUUUCUGCUAAAACCUGAACUUAAAUGUGUAUAUGGUGUUUAUCUGAUUUUCUAUUUGUUUUAGAUGCACAUAUCAAUUUGGAAUUCUGCCUCCAAGCCAGAAUUGCAGGAAUGCACCACGUGUUGCAGAAGAGUCUUUCACUGCCCUCUGUGCCCCACUUUCAGCCCUACUGUCAGGGCAAAGAUUGAGGAGCAAAUAAAUGGACACAUUAAAAAUGCUUUGCCUUUCAAAGACAAAAUGAUAUGCCGGUGCACUUUCACUGCCCUGUCUGUAACAUGACAAUCAUACAGCGUGGGGAUAUGGCAAGGCAAAUAUUGUCAUGUCAGCGUUUAGGACUGCUCCCCACUGAACUCUCCGUGGAGCCCCGCCUCUCUCCCGCUGCACUCUCUGUGGAGCCACAUCUCCCUCUCGAUGUCUCCAGCAUCUAAACCAUUUUCUGAAUCUUUGGUAGAACAUUCAUGUGUUCUACCCUCUGUGCUAAAUGAAACUGUGGCUUGUGGAAAGUCCAUGGAAAUGAAACGCCCUCACUGUGGUCUUAGUCUUCUUACAAAAAAAACUUCAAGGCUCACAUGAUGAGGAGGCAUUCAAACAGAUCAAUAGAUGUUUGCCUGGCCUGUCAUCUGCAGUGUUUUUGUGUAGAGGGACUUCUUCCUCUUUGUUUUUCAGUUUGCAGAGGACAUGGAGCUCUUUUUAAAAGCAUGUGCUGACGAGCAGGGACUAUGGGUCAAUGCGAUGUUUGACAUUUAAUCGACAGAUGAAGGCACUGGCUGUUUGUUUGUGUUUUUUAUGUGUUGUUUGUUUUUCAGUGUACAGAAUUCCAGUUAAGCUUAUUAUAAAAUGUUGUUCACUUGUUUCCAUGUCCAUACUAAUAGUA